AUGAACGCUAGCUACAGGCUUAACACAUGCAAGUCGAGGGGCAUCAUGAAGUCAGCUUGCUGACUUGAUGGCGACCGGCGCACGGGUGCGUAACACGUAUCCAAUCUACCCAUGGCUCGGGGAUAGCCUUUCGAAAGAAAGAUUAAUACCCGAUGGUUUCAUCGCUCCGCAUGGAGUGUUGAAUAAAGAUUUAUCGGCGAUGGAUGAGGAUGCGUCCGAUUAGCUUGUUGGCGGGGUAACGGCCCACCAAGGCGACGAUCGGUAGGGGCUCUGAGAGGAGGAUCCCCCACAUUGGAACUGAGACACGGUCCAAACUCCUACGGGAGGCAGCAGUGAGGAAUAUUGGUCAAUGGACGAGAGUCUGAACCAGCCAAGUAGCGUGAGGGAACCGACUGCCCUAUGGGUUGUAAACCUCUUUUGUUUGGGAAUAAAGUGCGGGACGUGUCCUGCAUUGCAUGUACCUUACGAAUAAGCAUCGGCUAAUUCCGUGCCAGCAGCGGC
This 501-nucleotide ribosomal RNA is filed under the name uncultured bacterium. RNAcentral describes it as "bacterial SSU rRNA". It matches the Rfam family "Bacterial small subunit ribosomal RNA", at positions 29 to 518 of the family's 1533-position model. The record is from RNAcentral.